Molecule: unclassified non-coding RNA, 308 nt
Filed under: uncultured fungus
Lineage: Eukaryota; Fungi
Description: sequence contains ITS1
Rfam family: 5.8S ribosomal RNA (bases 1-101)
Source: RNAcentral
UGCGAUACGUAAUGUGAAUUGCAGAGCUCAGUGAAUCAUCGAAUCUUUGAACGCACAUUGCGCCUCCCGGCAUCCCGGGAGGUACGCCUGUCCGAGCGUCAUCGCCUUCUCCGGGUCCCUUGUGGCCUGCCCUUGAGCCGGGUGCCCCUGCGCAGGCAUGCUCGUAAUCAGCACAACCAAAAAAGCCCCCGGAACCCCGAGCGCAGUGGCUGCGUAUGCUCGCGUGGGUCCGACGGGCGGCGGCGAUAUUCCGGCCUCAUGGCCCGCUAGUUGACCUCGGAUCAGGUGGGGAUACCCGCUGAACUUAA